This 484-nucleotide ribosomal RNA is filed under the name uncultured bacterium. RNAcentral's name for it is "partial 16S ribosomal RNA". It matches the Rfam family "Bacterial small subunit ribosomal RNA", at positions 29 to 507 of the family's 1533-position model. The record is from RNAcentral.
AUUGAACGCUGGCGGCAUGCUUUACACAUGCAAGUCGAACGGCAGCGCGGGCUUCGGCCUGGCGGCGAGUGGCGAACGGGUGAGUAAUGCAUCGGAACGUGCCCAGUAGUGGGGGAUAGCCCGGCGAAAGCCGGAUUAAUACCGCAUACGACCUGAGGGUGAAAGCGGGGGACCGAAAGGCCUCGCGCUAUUGGAGCGGCCGAUGUCGGAUUAGCUAGUUGGUGGGGUAAAGGCUUACCAAGGCGACGAUCCGUAGCUGGUCUGAGAGGACGACCAGCCACACUGGGACUGAGACACGGCCCAGACUCCUACGGGAGGCAGCAGUGGGGAAUGUUGGACAAUGGGGGCAACCCUGAUCCAGCCAUGCCGCGUGAGGGAAGAAGGCCUUCGGGUUGUAAACCGCUUUUGUUCGGGAAGAAAUCCUCUGGGCUAAUACCCCGGGGGGAUGACGGUACCGGAAGAAUAAGCACCGGCUAACUACGUG